Molecule: ribosomal RNA, 446 nt
Filed under: uncultured prokaryote
Description: bacterial SSU rRNA
Rfam family: Bacterial small subunit ribosomal RNA
Source: RNAcentral
UCGAGAAUCUUCGGCAAUGGACGCAAGUCUGACCGAGCGAUGCCGCGUGCGGGAUGAAGGCCUUCGGGUUGUAAACCGCUGUCAGUUGGGAGGAAAUCUAUGGGGGUUAUCCCCUGUAGUUGACCUAUCUUCAGAGGAAGUACGGGCUAAGUUCGUGCCAGCAGCCGCGGUAAGACGAACCGUACGAACGUUAUUCGGAAUCACUGGGCUUAAAGGGUGCGUAGGCGGCUUGGCAAGUUGGGUGUGAAAUCCCUCGGCUCAACCGAGGAAUUGCGCUCAAAACUGCCAGGCUAGAGGGAGAUAGAGGUGAGCGGAACUUAUGGUGGAGCGGUGAAAUGCGUUGAUAUCAUAAGGAACACCUGUGGCGAAAGCGGCUCACUGGAUCUCUUCUGACGCUGAGGCACGAAAGCUAGGGGAGCGAACGGGAUUAGAUACCCCCGUAGUCC